CGAGUGGGUCGAGCGAUCGCCUGUCUUUUCCGCAUGGAAAAGAUGGGAGGAAAGUCCGAACUCCAGAGGGCAGAGCGCUGGGUAACUCCCAGGUGCCGUGAGGCAACGGAAAGUGCCACAGAAAACAGACCGCCGAAGUUUUCCCGUUUAUACGGGAAAACAGGCAAGGGUGAAAAGGUAGUGUAAGAGACUACCGCACAGGGUGGCGACACCCUGUGGCACGGCAAACCCCGCUCGGAGAAAGACCAAGUAGGGAAGCAUACACCCUCAGGGUGGGCAGAUGGCCCGUCUGAUGCUUCCGGGUAGGUCGCAAGAGGCACCCAGCAAUGGGUGUCCCAGAUAAAUGAUCGCUCUCGACAGAAUUCGGCUUAUAGACCCACUCGCUUC
RNAcentral lists this RNase P RNA (387 nucleotides) under Pseudomonadota bacterium. RNAcentral describes it as "RNase P RNA component class A". It matches the Rfam family "Bacterial RNase P class A". Rfam says of the family: Ribonuclease P (RNase P) is a ubiquitous endoribonuclease, found in archaea, bacteria and eukarya as well as chloroplasts and mitochondria. RNAcentral also lists the same sequence under 1 other name. The record is from RNAcentral. Lineage: Bacteria; Pseudomonadati; Pseudomonadota.